Molecule: small nuclear RNA, 107 nt
Organism: Nycticebus coucang (slow loris)
Lineage: Eukaryota; Metazoa; Chordata; Mammalia; Primates; Lorisidae
Source: RefSeq, a predicted model, not a curated record
GUGCUUGCUUCAGCAGCACAUACACUAAAAUUGGGAUGAGACCGAGAAGAUUAGCAUGGCCCCUGUGUAAGGGUGACACACAUAUCUGUGAAGUGUUCCAUAUUUUU